CAAGAUGAGCAAUAAAGAGGAAAGAGAGGAAGGGGACAGCCUUGCCAUUUAGGGUCCCGUGAAAAGCUCAGAGAGCCAAGCAACUUGAUUUUACUUGCCUCUAUUUACAAUCAUAAAAGUAUUAUUAUUAAUGAUGCUGUUUUACAUUUUAUAGCUCCUUUUCAGCUUGAGCGAUCCCAAAGGGUUUUGCAAACUACAUGUGCGUGGUUUCACUGUCUUCCUGAGACCAUUGCUCUCUCUCCCCUCUCAAGAAGCCUCUUACUAACAACAGCAGAAGCAGUGAUGGUAGCAAUAAUCAACAGAAAAAAGACACUUUCUGGCUUCAAAGUAUUGGAAAUCUCAGAGAAAAGAAGAGUUUGGUCUACACAGGAGGGUCAUGAGAACUUGGAUUCAAAUCCUGGCUUUGCCACUUCUUUGUAUGGCUUUGAGCAACAUUCUUAAUUUUUUAUGCCUCAGUUUCCUGGUCUGUAAAAUGGGUGUGAUAAUGGCACCUACCUCAUAGGUUGUUGUGAGAAUUAAUUUAGAUAAUAUGCAAAAUACUUAAAGAGCCUGGCAUAGAACAAGUAUUCUGUAAAACCAACCACUGCAUUGGGAAAUGUGGCAGUAUAAUAUAAUGAGAAGUAAAUAGAAGACCUAAAACUCAUAGAGCCAGUCUCUCCUUUCUCUUAGUCCUCUGGGAGAACCUGCAUGUGGCACCUACAGCUAUAAGGGUAGCACCAGACCCCAUUCAGCUUUGAGAUAUUACCUGAAGUUUCAUUUCUGAAAUCCUCACCCCCGGCCCCAGAGGCCCAAGCUCAGCCAAGCCCAACCCCUGCACUCCUCCCUGCGCAUUGUACAGACUCAGCACAGGGUCACACUCACAGUAGGCCACCAGAGGCUGAUCUGUUGCUUAGGCUGCUAGGCUGGCAACUGUAAGGGGCUGUUGGCUUGGUCUGGAAAAGUGGGAGGGAAUGGAAUAUGGGCAGGAAUUAGUCAGUGGGACCCAGGUAUCUGGGAGGAGUUGCACUAGUCCUGCCCAGAGACUGCACUGGUGGUGUGUCUGCACCUGUGGUGUGUCUGCCCCUCUGGGGAGCCGGCAACAGACCUAGCUUGACUCUAAGGCCCUGAGGAUUGCUGUUUCUACUUUUGGUCGCCUGCUUAUCAUUUCCUUUUGUUUUUUAAUUACAUAGAUAAUGUAUUCUUGUUGAAGAAAUAGAUGCAGUAAUAUAGUGAAAAUAAUGCCGUAAUACAGUGAAAGCAAGCCCUUCCUUACCCCUCUCCUUUAUCACACUUUCCAAAAAAACCCAUUUAGCAAAAUUGCAGACUUCCUU
RNAcentral lists this long non-coding RNA (1310 nucleotides) under Callithrix jacchus (white-tufted-ear marmoset). Its description in RNAcentral is "lncRNA (ENSCJAG00000070451.1)". The record is from RNAcentral. Lineage: Eukaryota; Metazoa; Chordata; Mammalia; Primates; Cebidae.